Molecule: long non-coding RNA, 584 nt
Organism: Bubalus bubalis (water buffalo)
Lineage: Eukaryota; Metazoa; Chordata; Mammalia; Artiodactyla; Bovidae
Exons: 3
Source: RefSeq, a predicted model, not a curated record
UGCUCCUAAUUACCUCCCUUUGGACCGCCCGGCUGGCGUAGGGGAUCAGAGCCUGGCCUGCCUCAGCACCUCUCCGCCCGGGAAGGUUCUUCCUUCAGAAUGGCCCACUUAAAAUGCAGCCCCUCACAACCGCGCUCCAACUCAGUGACAGGUCUCAGGAGUUGGCCGGCUUUCCCGUAACCCUCUGACUUGCUUAGGGCGUCCUAGUGGUUAAACCCGGGAGCCCCCGCAGGUGCCUCCACGCUGUUUCCAAGAAGUAGAGCUCAACAUAGAUUUAUUUGGUAACCAUUGCAGGAAUUUCAAAAAAUAAGAACCAGAGGAAGAAGCCAGACCUGAGUGUGAAGCCCUCAAUGUUGCAUUUUGACAAAGAAGUUCAGUGGAGACGAGGCCACAGCUUCACCUUACCUCUCUGAGUAGGAGGAGGGAUUUCCUCAGAAACGAAGACUGUUGCCCACAUCAGUCUCCUUGAAUGAGCCCUUCAGACCGUCCGAAGAGGAAAUUCCUCACCCUCUGCUGGACUGGGGCAGAGUUCCAAAAGAAUAGCAAGGAGAGAUAAGAAAGCCUUCCUCAGUGAUCAAUGCAAA